UGACUCUGGUUUCCCUUUAAGCCGCAUAAUUUUUUCGCCUUUACUAAAGAUUUCCGUGGAGGGGAAGAACUCAAUGACCUUUAAGAAAUUUCUAUUGGGCUACCUAAAGGACUUCA
Portunus trituberculatus (swimming crab) is the source of this 116-nucleotide small nuclear RNA. RefSeq annotates it as U5 spliceosomal RNA. Lineage: Eukaryota; Metazoa; Arthropoda; Malacostraca; Decapoda; Portunidae. The record is from RefSeq and is a predicted model, not a curated record. The transcript has a single exon.